RNA transcript from Cyprinodon variegatus (sheepshead minnow), 2662 nucleotides. It is a transcript of the gene named ribophorin II, with no coding region annotated. The transcript is spliced from 18 exons. NCBI's taxonomy places the organism in Eukaryota, Metazoa, Chordata, Actinopteri, Cyprinodontiformes, Cyprinodontidae. The record is from RefSeq and is a predicted model, not a curated record.
AGUCCUCUCUAAGCUGACAGCUCUGAGACACCGGAAGCAAAUGCGGUUUGGUGACGCUGCAUUAGGCUGCAAGACAUGAUUCGGUCAACAGAGCUAUUCGGGUUGCUGCUCCUGAGCCUGGCUCUUCCCGGAGCUCAGGCGCUUACGCCGUCUCACCACCUGUCCCUUUCUGAUGUGGGUCGGCUGCAAAACCUCCUUAACCAAGAAUACACCGACCUGGAGUCCGCAUACUACUCUGUGGUUGGCCUCUCCAAGCUCGGAGCGGCUGUUCCAAAUCCUGCACAAGUUUGUCAGUUCCUGAAAUCCCAGCUCGACCCCAGUAGUGUUGAUUCUCUGUUCUUCGCUGCUGAAACCAGUCAGGCCAUUUCUGGAUGCGAGAUCCCUGUAUCAAAUGAAACUAGGGAAAUCCUUCUGGCAGCCGUCAGUGAGGAUUCGUCCAUGUCUCAGAUCCAUCGAGCUGUGGGUGCUCUCAGCUCUUUGGGGCUCCCUCUCGCCUCACAGGAAGUUGUUAGCGCCCUGACGGCACGCAUCAACAAGGAGGACAAUGUCAUGGCUAUCAUCUCUGCUCUGCAGACUGCAUCCCGUCUGUCCCAGCAGGCAGAACUGGGAGGAAUCCUGGAGGAGAUUGAGGAUCUGACAGCUCGUUUGGAUGAUCUGGGAGGCAUCUACCUCCAGUUUGAAGAGGGACUUGAGGCCACAGCCCUGUUUGUGGCAGCAGCCUAUGGCCUCUCAGAUCAUGUGGACAUGGAGCCCCCUCUCAAGGAGGAUCAAGUCAUCCAGCUGGUGAACUCCAUUUUUAGCAAGAAAUCAUGGGACUCUCUGUCUGAGGCCUUCAGCGUGGCGAGUGCUGCUGCAGCUCUGUCCAACAACCGCUUCCAUGUCCCUGUCAUCGUCAACACUCAGGGUCCAGCCACUGUGUCACACAACCAGCCAACCCUGCAGCUCCUCGUCACUGAUGUCAUGUCCCAGCCUCUGAACUCCGCCGACGUGCUGGUCGAGUCUGCGUUUGCUGUGGCCUCCAAGAGCGCCGUUCUCAACCAAGAACCUUUCACUCAUAAUGAUGGUGUCUUUGAACUGAACUUCAUGUCGAAGAAGCCAGCAAGUGGAUAUUACCAGUUCACCAUCGGUGUGACCGGGGACAGCCGAUUGGUUGCCAAUCAUGUUGAGCUGAAGGUGAAGGUUUCCACUGAGGUUGCCGUUACCAACAUGGACCUCUCUGUGGUGGAUAAGGACCAGAGCAUUGGCACAAAGACCACCAGGGUUCAGUAUCCCUCCAAAGCCAAGAGCCCCUUCACAGCAGACAGCCACCAGAACUUUGCCAUGUCCUUCCAGCUGGUCGACGUCAACAAUGAGCAGGAGCUCACCCCUCACCAGACCUUCGUCCGGCUCCACAAUCAGAAAACCGGUCAGGAGGUGGUGUUUGUUGCUGAACCCGACAGCAAGAAUCUCUACAAGUUUGAGUUGGAUACGGCGGAACGGAAAUCUGAGUUUGAUACCAUGUCUGGAACCUACUCUCUGUACCUCAUCGUUGGAGACGCUACCUUAGAGAAUCCCGUUUUGUGGAAUGUGGCUGAUGUUGUCCUGAAGUUUGCCGAUGAAGAAGCUCCAGUUGCUGCUCAACCCAAGACCCUUUAUGUACCUAAACCAGAGAUCCAGCAUUUGUUCAGGGAGCCUGAAAAGAAGCCUCCAACCGUGGUUUCCAACACCUUCACUGCUCUCGUCAUGUCUCCCCUCCUGCUCCUGCUCAUUCUGUGGUUUAAACUUGGAGCCAACAUCUCCAACUUCAGCUUCUCUCCAAGCACCAUCCUGUUCCAUCUGGGACAUGCCGCCUUGCUCGGCCUUAUGUACGUCUACUGGACCAACCUGAACAUGUUUCAGACUCUGAAGUACCUGGCAAUCAUCGGCGGUGUAACUUUCCUUGCCGGGAACCGCAUGCUGGCCCAGAAAGCUGUGAAGAGGAUUGCUGCAGAGCAGAGUAGUAGGUUGGCAAAGUAUAGGAGCCUUCGGUAAAGCCCCCCUCCCCUUCUUUUGUAACAUAAGAGUGGGUUCUGCUUCCAGGCUGAAGAUGGAGAGGAAAUAGGGGCAAAAAAAAAAAAAUCAAAGAAGACACCGAUGGUCAUUUUUUUUGUUUGCAGCAAAAUCAGACUAUGAGAAAAAAAAAAUGGAACAGAUGUUCAAGAAUCCAAUUGACGGUUUAAACAUGCAGUUUGGCUGUGAUGGGAAAAGGAAAGGAUGGACGUCAUUGUCUCUGAAAGACUGGACAAACACUGACAGAUUCUCCUGCAGAGGGCUGCAAAGCUACUGAUCAUUGCACUUCCUCUCAUCUUUUCUUUUUGUCCAACAUAGUUUUCAGUGAGCUGGAUUUUGUUUGUGGUUUCUAGAUGAGAUUUGGGUUUUUUCAUUUUUUUUUUUUUUUGUACAUUCCUCUUUGUUGAUGCUCGGUGCCCAUUUCACCUCAGAAAGGAGCAGCUUCUUCAAUAAAUAGCUAACAAUUGGACGUAGCACUGACACCUGGAUUGAUCUUACCCACGCUGCUCUGUUUGGCUGUGGCACUGUUCUAUUUUUGACGCAAAAUGCUCCCAUGAAAAUUUAUUGAUUACAUAUGGGCGGUUUCAUAAUGUUUUUGUAAUGAAGACGGGAAAAUAAAGAAGCUGAGGUGAAC